RNA transcript from Zea mays, 6045 nucleotides. It is a transcript of the gene named lysine-specific demethylase 5B, with no coding region annotated. Lineage: Eukaryota; Viridiplantae; Streptophyta; Magnoliopsida; Poales; Poaceae. The transcript has 33 exons. The record is from RefSeq and is a predicted model, not a curated record.
ACUUGGAAUUGUUUUAGGCAGCCCAAACCGCUAUCCCCACCUUCUUCCUCACUUGCCAUUCUUCGCUGACCUCUAAACCUAACCGCCCAUGGGCAAAGGGGCCCCUCCUGCCGUUGCCACAGCCACCUCCGUCCCUGAGGCGCCGGUCUUCCACCCCACAGACGAGGAGUUCGCCGACCCCCUCGCCUACGUCGCCCGUAUCCGCCCCCUCGCCGAGCCCUACGGCAUCUGCCGCAUCGUCCCGCCGUCCUCAUGGUCCCCGCCUUACGCCCUCGACUUCAAGGCUCUCUCCUUCCCCACCAAGAGGCAGCCCAUCCACCGCCUCCUCGCCCGCCCCGCCCCCGCUGACCCCGACACCUUCCUCCUCGACUAUCGCCGUUUCCUCGGGGCUUCCUCCGCACAUCGCCGUGGCCGCAGGAAGGGCCUUCCCAAGUCGCCCUCUCUCUCGGAUGGUCGCCCGCUCGACCUCUGCCGCCUGUUCCAUGCUGUCAAGCGCUUCGGCGGUUACUACGGUGCCUGUGAGGGGAAGCGCUGGGGCGACGUCGUCCGCCUCGUUGAUGAUAAGGCGCCAAUGCACAUAUCAGAGUGCGCCAAGCACGUGCUUGCGCAGCUAUAUUACGAGCAUCUCUAUGGCUAUGAGAAGUUCGCCAACCCACAGCAUGGGAACAAGGGAAGGAAGCAGCCACGGCCCGGAUCUGAUGAUCGACCAUCGGUUUCUCGUUCACAGGACGAAGAGAGCAACAUAUCUGUUACUGGGGAGAUGGUUGAGGAGGUUACAGGCCGGAAAAGGAGAAAUUUCUCACGCAAGGAAUUAGGCAGAGGGACAUCUCAUGGUCGUUAUGGCCGUGUUGUUAACAUCACUGGAAAUAAUGUGGCAUCUGCUGUUGCCCAGAAGCGGACGAGGAGGAACUCUGAUGCUGUGGUUACCACAGUCGAUGAGGUGUCUGCUGGUGUCCGGAAGCGGAAAAGGAGAAAGUCUGAUGCCGCGUCUACCGUGUUUAAUGAUGAAGUGGAUCAAGUUUGUGAGCAGUGUAGUAGUGGGUUACAUGGGGAUGUCAUGCUCCUAUGCGAUCGCUGUGAUAAAGGCUGGCAUUUGUACUGUUUGUCGCCGCCGCUCGAGCGAGUGCCUCCAGGGAAUUGGUAUUGCUCAGAUUGCCUCAACUCCGAUAGAGAUUGUUUUGGGUUUAUCCAAAGGAGGAAGUCCUGCUUGCUUGAGACUUUCCGGCGGUUUGACGACAGGGUGAGAAAGAGAUGGUUUGGGCAGAGGAAUCCCAGCCGUAUUCAAAUUGAGAAGCAGUUCUGGGAGAUUGUGGAGGGGAAGGCAGGGGAACUUGAGGUUAUGUAUGGGAGUGACUUGGACACUUCAAUUUAUGGGAGCGGGUUUCCUCGUCUUGGUGAUACAGUGCCAUCAUCUAUGGACCUAGAGACGUGGCAGAAAUACUGUUCAAGCCCGUGGAAUUUGAACAAUUUUCCGAAUCUGCCUGGCUCAGUUCUUAGGACAGUCAAGGAUAAAAUUCCUGGUGUCAUGGUCCCAUGGCUCUACAUAGGGAUGCUGUUUUCGUCAUUUUGUUGGCAUGUUGAGGACCAUUGUUUCUAUUCAAUAAAUUAUUUGCAUUGGGGUGAGCCAAAAUGUUGGUAUGGGGUGCCUGGAGCAAAAGCAAAUGCCUUUGAGCAGGUUAUGCGCCAGGCCUUACCUGAUCUGUUUGAUGCACAACCGGAUCUGCUUUUUCACCUUGUCACAAUGCUGAAUCCAUCUAUUUUACAAGCAAAUAGCGUUCCAGUAUAUAGCGUGAUGCAGGAACCUGGAAACUUCAUCAUCACCUUCCCCAGGUCAUUCCAUGGUGGCUUCAAUUUAGGUUUGAACUGUGCCGAGGCUGUAAAUUUUGCCCCUGCUGAUUGGUUACCUCAUGGUGGAAUUGGGGCUAAUCUAUAUCGUUUAUACCGCAAAGCGCCUGUCUUGUCACAUGAGGAGCUUCUGUAUGUGGUUGCAAAGAAUGGUGUGGAUGCUGAGUCACUUACCCAUUUGAAGGGAGAAAUAAAAAGGCUUUUUAUAAAUGAGAGAAGACGUCGAGUAGAGCUUUGGAUUAAUGGGACUGUCAAAUCUAGCCUAAUGUUGCCAAGGAUUAAUCCAAACUUUAUCGGAAGUGAAGAGGAUCCUACAUGCAUUAUUUGUCGACAGUAUCUGUAUCUUUCAGCAGUCUCCUGUAACUGUAGGCUGUCUUCUUAUGUUUGCCUUGAGCACUGGAAGCACCUUUGUGAAUGCAGUCCGAAGAAGCAUUGCUUACUUUAUCGACACACCCUUGCAGAGUUGGGGGAUUUAGUGUGCGAGGUCUCUUUGGUUAGCCCCCAAAGGGACAAUGUUAUGCAGAAUCCACACUUGCUCAAUGAUGUUUAUGUGCCGUCUAAAAAGGUCAAAGAUCACUAUAUAUUAUAUAGACAGCUUGCAGAAGAUUGGGUUUCAAACUCUGAACAUAUUCUCCAGAUGCCAUUUGUGGAAAGGUCUUAUGCCACUGCUUUGGAAGAAGCUGAACAAUUUCUUUGGGGUGAUCAUGCCAUGGAUUCUGUCCGGAACAUAACAGUAAGACUAACAAAGGCUAUGAAGUGGGCCUUGGGUGUUAGAAAAUGUCUCUCCAAAAUUCAGGACUUUCUGAAAGAUGGCUGCUCUGAAAAAGUAAAUUAUGUGGAAAUAGAAGAACUAGUUGCUACGAAAUGUGCCCCGUGCUGUGAGCCUAGUCUUACAAAAUUGCAGGCGUAUGCAGAGGAAGCGAAAUUGCUGAUUAAUGAAGUAAACAAUGCACUAUCAUCUUUCUUAACAGUAGACAAAUUGGAAACAUUAUACUCAAGGGUUUCAGAAUUCCCAGUUAAGCUAACAGAAUCAUCGACUUUGUUUUGGGAGUUAUCUUCUGCAAAGUCCUGGUUGAAGAAAGCAAGUGAUUGCCUUGAACAGAAUAAACUGGGCAUUAUCGACAUAGAUGUCCUCAAUAAACUAAAAUCAGAGAUAAUACAACUUCGAGUUCUACUUCCAGAGAUUGAUCUUAUCUCAAAGCUGUGGAAAGAUGUGGAAUCAUGGCAAACCCGUUGUCAAUUAUAUCUCCAAGACUUCCCUGAUCUAAAGGAGCUGGAGGGUUUUCUCCUUGCUGCGGAUGGUGCCAACUUUAGCAUUCCAGAGCUGAACAUUCUUAAGCAACAUUACUCAAAUUGUUGCUCUUGGGUGAGUCGUGCUAAGAACAUACUCAGAAAACUUUAUGCUACGAGUGACUAUCACAAUGCUGUUGAGGAGUUGACAGGCAUUCUGAAGGAAGCAGAAUUACUAGGAGUAAAAGUUGAUGAAUUGCCUAUUGUGGAGAAAGAACUAAAGAGGUCCUUAUGUAGGAAGCAAGCAUCUGAGGCACUUGCAACAGUAAUGCCAAUGGAGGUGGUUGAAGAAAUUUUAAAAGAAGCUUCGAUACUACAUAUUGAAGAGGAGCAACCAUUUGAUGAUCUGUCUCGGAUGCUCAAAGAGGCCACUUCCUGGGAAGAGAAGGCUAGACUUAUUCUUGAACGAUCAGCUUCUCUCUCUGAGUUUGAAGACCAUAUGAGGUGUUCAGAGGGAAUAAGAGUUAUCCUUCCGUCUAAACUGCAUAUGAAAGCAGAGGUUGAUAUUGCUAAAUUGUGGAUAGACAAAUGUCAGGCCUAUUUGAGACCAGGCUGCAAUAAACUUGCAUUUGGAGACUUUCUUAAAGUUGAUGAUAUCAAGGAUUUAAUCAAUCAGCCUGCAAAUUUGAAAGUCAUUCUUGACACUUCAGAACUUAAUUCUGUUCUCAACAAUAUUGAAAAAUGGGAACACAGUUCACUAAGUCUACUCAAUAAUUUUAGAGCCUUACUUCAUUUGAAUAGUAUUGGCUCUACAGUUGACACACUUCAAAGAAAAUUGGAGGAGCUGCAAGGUAAAAUGAACACAGAAAUAGAAGUUGGAUUAUCUCUUGGUUUUGAGUUCAAGGUUCUUUGGGAACUGAAGGAUUCUUCGUUGAUGCUAAGAUGGAUAUUGAAUGCACUGUCUCUGUGCUGUAUGAUUCCUUUAUUGCAGGAUGUUGAUAGAUUAAUUGAAGAAGCAGUCCACCUUCCUGCUUCCUUAGCAGAUUGUUCUUUGGUUACAUUGUUGAUGAGGGCAUUGUCUUGUCUAAGAAAAUCACUUAUUUUGCUUCCUGGUUCUGGAACAUCUGCAAAAUCCAAAUUGGAAGAUGUUGAAAAUAUUCUAGCAGAAUUCAAGGAGGUUGAUGUUCCUUAUCCUAUCAUGACUGCCAAGCUGGAGGAUGCUGUAAACAAUCAUAAUUCAUGGAUAGAGCAAUGCAAUACCUUCUUCAUGCUGUCUGAUGGCCAGUCGUGGGCUAUGCUGCAAAAUCUCAGGGACAAUGGGCAGUCUGUUGCAUUUGAUUGCCCUGAGAUGGAUAAAGUUGUUGAUGAGGUUAAAAACGUUGAAGAGUGGCUCAAUCAGUGCCACUGUACUCUACUUCUAGAUGGAAAUAAUAGUUCUUUGCUCUCCAUACUUGUAAAGAUAAGAGGAUUAUUGGAUGAUGUUUGCACGUUAUAUGCUGAGGAUUGUAUGAAGUUAAGAUUAUGUGCUGUAUGCUCAUGUGACAUCGGAGAUAGGCUGGCAUCUAGAUGUGUGACUUGUCAAGACUGGUACCAUGGCUCCUGCGUGGAAAACCUGUCUGCUACUACACAAACGACAAUUGAAUGGAUGUGUUCAUUUUGUUCACUUUUACAGAGUGAGGACCAAUUGAAGAACCAACUAUCUGUAAAGAUGUCUAAAGGAAACUGCCCUGCACUUGCCGCACUUGAUGAACUCAUCUCUUCUGCAAAGGGUUUAUACACUGGGAUUGAGGAAAUUAAUUUGCUAAAAGAAAUUGUUGAUAAGGCUCGUAACUUGAAUGCCUACUUGAUGCAAAUUCUGGAUGAUUCAGACUGUUAUCAUGGAGAAGAUCUUACUGUCAUAUUCAAAUCUCUUUUAGUUGCUCUCAAGGAUGAGUAACUACAUCUUUUGGCUAUUUUGCUUGGUAGGCGACAUCAGCUUCUGGCUUGUAUGAUGACAAUGUCAGUUGCAGAAUUGAGUCUGUUUUGAGCAGAUAUUUGUGGAAGAAACAAAUACAUAAACUAUUGUAUGGUGGUAAAAAGUCAUCGAUUCAAGAAGUACUGUGCCUUGAUGAAGAGGGUUCACAUUUAGAGAUAUGUGAUCAAGAUUUCUUCAAGUUGGAGAUUAGUAAAAUAAAGGAAACCAGCCUGCAGUGGCUGGCUAAAGCAGAGGAGGUUGCAUGUGAUUCUGGUGAGCUUGCACUGGAUCUUGUGUAUGGACUUAUAGCUGAAGGGGAAAAUCUCUCUGUAGACUUUGAGAAGGAACUAAAGUUACUGAGGGAUCGCAGUGUCCUCUACUGCAUCUGCUGUAAGCCCGACGAUAACAGGGCCAUGAUUGCAUGCGACCAGUGUGAUGAGUGGUACCAUUUUGAUUGCAUCAACCUGCUUGGACCCCCUCCAGAAAGCUUCUUCUGCCCUGCUUGCCAUCCAAACAAUGGUGAAGAAUCUGUAUCACUUGCACGCUCAGAGGAUGAUGAGGAUAGAUCAAGCACUGGAGCCGGAGCUCACACGCCGCCGGACAGAGUGGUGGAGCGAGACUUAAUAAAGCUUCUUAGCUGCCAUAGCGGUAGCUCAUGGAGCGAGAGCAGAAGGGCUCCUCAUCGAACAGCUAGAAGGCGUAGUAGUUUCGUCGGAUUGUUAUGAUGUGCAGGAACCUUCUUAGCACCGUGAAUUGAUUCUUUUUAGUUAGGUUAGAAGCAGGAACGAUCCAUCAUCUGCUGUUGUAAUUUGUAGCUGUUGACAGGAGGUAGAUGUAGCAAGGCAGAGCUGUAAGAACCCAUUAUUAUUGAUCUUGUAGCAGUCUGAGGUUUUGGAAAUUGUAUCAUAUACUACCGCCGUUCUUGAAUAUUUGUCGCCUAUUGUUUCAAAAAACGACAAAUAAAAAAAUUAAAAAAGAAUGGAGAGUAUUUUUAUGCUGCUGCUAUGCACGGCUCA